RNAcentral lists this ribosomal RNA (270 nucleotides) under uncultured bacterium. RNAcentral describes it as "partial 16S ribosomal RNA". It matches the Rfam family "Bacterial small subunit ribosomal RNA", at positions 88 to 354 of the family's 1533-position model. The record is from RNAcentral.
CCGGCGACCGGCGCACGGGUGAGUAACACGUAUGCAACCUGCCUGCCACAGCCGGAUAAUCGGGAGAAAUCCCGCCUAAUACAACAUAAUGCCGGGAGGGGACAUCCCCUGCCGGUCAAAGGGGGCGACCCCGGUCAUGGAUGGGCAUGCGGCGCAUUAGGUAGUUGGUGGGGCAACGGCCCACCAAGCCGACGAUGCGUAGGGGUUCUGAGAGGAAGGUCCCCCACAUUGGAACUGAGACACGGUCCAAACUCCUACGGAAGGCAGCAG